GCUUACGGCCACACCUCCCUGAGCACGCCCGAUCUCGUCUGAUCUCGGAAGCUAAGCAGGGUCGGGCCGGUUAGUACUGUAUGGGAGUACGCCUGGGAAUAACAGGUGCUGUAAGCC
RNAcentral lists this ribosomal RNA (117 nucleotides) under Esox lucius (northern pike). The record is from RNAcentral. Lineage: Eukaryota; Metazoa; Chordata; Actinopteri; Esociformes; Esocidae.